RNAcentral lists this ribosomal RNA (484 nucleotides) under uncultured bacterium. Its description in RNAcentral is "partial 16S ribosomal RNA". It matches the Rfam family "Bacterial small subunit ribosomal RNA", at positions 28 to 523 of the family's 1533-position model. The record is from RNAcentral.
GACGAACGCUGGCGGCGUGCUUAACACAUGCAAGUCGAACGAUGAAACCGGAGCUUGCUCCGGUGGAUUAGUGGCGAACGGGUGAGUAACACGUGAGUAACCUGCCCUUGACUCUGGGAUAACUGCGGGAAACUGUAGCUAAUACCGGAUACGACCCUCGGAGGCAUCUCCUGGGGGUGGAAAGAAUUUCGGUCAAGGAUGGACUCGCGGCCUAUCAGCUAGUUGGUGAGGUAACGGCUCACCAAGGCGACGACGGGUAGCCGGCCUGAGAGGGGGACCGGCCAGACUGGGACUGAGACACGGCCCAGACUCCUACGGGAGGCAGCAGUGGGGAAUAUUGCACAAUGGGCGCAAGCCUGAUGCAGCAACGCCGCGUGAGGGAUGACGGCCUUCGGGUUGUAAACCUCUUUUAGCAGGGAAGAAGCGAAAGUGACGGUACCUGCAGAAAAAGCACCGGCUAACUACGUGCCAGCCGCCGCUGUAA